Molecule: transfer RNA, 68 nt
Filed under: Marmota monax (woodchuck)
Lineage: Eukaryota; Metazoa; Chordata; Mammalia; Rodentia; Sciuridae
Description: tRNA.Ala
Rfam family: tRNA (bases 5-65)
About the family: Transfer RNA (tRNA) molecules are approximately 80 nucleotides in length. Their secondary structure includes four short double-helical elements and three loops (D, anti-codon, and T loops). Further hydrogen bonds mediate the characteristic L-shaped molecular structure. tRNAs have two regions of fundamental functional importance: the anti-codon, which is responsible for specific mRNA codon recognition, and the 3' end, to which the tRNAs corresponding amino acid is attached (by aminoacyl-tRNA synthetases). tRNAs cope with the degeneracy of the genetic code in two manners: having more than one tRNA (with a specific anti-codon) for a particular amino acid; and 'wobble' base-pairing, i.e. permitting non-standard base-pairing at the 3rd anti-codon position.
Source: RNAcentral
GGACUGUAGCUCAGUGGUAGAGCACUUGCCUCGCAUGUGUGAGGCCCUGGGUCCAAUCCUCAGCACCA